RNAcentral lists this long non-coding RNA (342 nucleotides) under Mytilus galloprovincialis (Mediterranean mussel). Lineage: Eukaryota; Metazoa; Mollusca; Bivalvia; Mytilida; Mytilidae. The record is from RNAcentral.
ACCAUCUCGAAUACCUUGACAAGAAAGUGAUUUGUGACGGUUUUUGUCAACGAACUGUACAGUGAUUAUUUAAAAACGCACAACGAACGCGACACAUUUGAUUGAACGAACAAUACAGUAAGAGAACAUUUAUUUAGUAUGAUAUUGCGUUUAUUCUAAGUUCUAGGGAACAUUUGAAGACACGUAGUAAUUCAACGUAUAGUUAUUUAUUAUUGCUUAAGGUAUUAAUAUGCAAAGGUGUAUGCACGAAAAGAUAUUCAGCAUUGUUUACCUCAUAAAACGUAUGAAAUUGCACCAUGUCUGUGCGUUUUGCAUCUAGCAGUUUUAUCAAACGUUCUAUGC